CAAAGAAAAAGCUUCUCUUUACAUAGGACGCCUGUCUAUUACACAUUUGUGGCCACCUGGCCUUGAAGACAGUCUCUCCCAAUGUCCAGCAGCCUUCCCUUGCGGCUAGCAAAUACAGCACCUGGAAGGCUCUCAGCAAACCACUUGCAAGCUCUUCAGCACAAUCCUCAUUAUUUUACCACCACAUUGGAACUGUUGCUUCCUGUUAUGGUGGCCUGCGGAGAGAACUGGUCCUUCGGAAGAUGGGGAAGAACAGGCUCUCAGGAUGGAGUGCAGCCUCGGGGAAGAAGCCAGGUGCCAUCAGGAGCCAGUGCCACCACUUCUGCCACUGGGAACAUCUGCUGUCUCUGCUGGUCAGGCCUUCGGAGAUCACUGUGGAGUUGCUGUGGACAUGGCGUCUCUUCACAGUAAUAGAAGCCCUAACAAGACAGGCAGUCAAUGACUUCAAAACUGUCUUCCUUUGCCUGCUUGGAAGCUUAGUGAGACCCUCCUCUCCUCAUUCACUGAGUGCUCCCAGCAUGAUACCUGCUCGGCUUAGCUUCUAAUCGAUACCUUCCAUAAGGCAAGCAAGAGAUAGAUGUGUUCCCCAAACAGUGAUGGAGUCCAGGGACAGCUGAUCUGGCAUUUCUGAGGAAGGACAGCUGGGAGCUUCUCUUUUGCAACACUUGAUCCAUGCCUCACGGAAGACUCAGCAAGGGCAAAGCACUGGACCAGACAACUGAUAUGGAUCAGGCUUGGUGGGAACCUUUUAUUGCUAGGCAGCUUGGUGAUGCUGGUUCAUCUGUCUGCAGACUUCUUUAUGACUAUACCUGUGUUCUAAGCAUCCCUUGCCUGACCCUCUCGUGCUAACCCUGCAAGUCCUCAGGACAUGUAUUUAGCCUAUUCUGUUGGCUUAAUUGGAUCUCCACUACAAGGACAGAGCAAGGCAGACACAACUUUCAAUUACCUACAGCAAGGCCCAGUGCAGAGGUGGGAUUUUAGGAGCAUUCAGAGAGAAAGCAAUGAUGACACACUGAGACUUUCCCAUGCCGCGGUGGCCAGCUUUUCCUGUGCAAUGGAGGUCAUUGACUUUAAUUCCUUUCUUUAAUUCCCCCUCCUUUGAUGAGGCUCUGGUUGAAUGCCCUCACCAAAGAAAGUGUGAGGAAUUUAGCGUUUCAGGCCCAGUCACACCACUCAUAAUCUGCAUUGCUACCAGAUCCCAGGGAGUUUGUAUGUAUGCCAUAAUUUAGGAAAUGCUUCUCAAAAGCAACUGCAGGCUGCUUUUAGGUCUUUAGUUUCACCGCAGAGUCUUUCCCAGUUCCACAGACUGCUAUGGCCCCCAACACCGGCUCCCAUGACAGGGAACCACUCGGCAGUAGCCAGUCUGGUUGGAAACCUGAUACUUAUCAGGAUGGACAAAUGAUGAGCUAUUUGUUAGCAACAGAUUGCCUAAGUCUUUCUGGUGAUCAUGUUCAAGAGCAUGCUAGGGGACUCAGAAUCACCUACAGAUGUUGUUGAUGAGGUCUUUAACAAGGAGACAAGCCAGCGUUUAGUAUGUAAUCUCAUGCUCCAGCCAGUGAGGCAAAUCUUACAACCUCUGUUGCACACAGUAGGAUCCUGAGGUCCAAAGAGUUUAGGUCACCUUUUCAGUGUCACGCAGUCAGAAAGAAGUAGAGUGGUGUAUUUUCUUUGGGCCAGGCCUUUGAACAGCUCUCCUAGACAAGCUGUCCAUGUGGCUCUGACAGCAUCUCUUCGAGUCAUCUCCCUUUCUGUCCGCACGUCUCUUUCUUGCAGGGCCGAUAGAAUUUCUGUAGAGCACCAAACACACAGUGUGCUGCCUGCCCCAGUCCUCUGACUCUCUUACGCAUAUGGCGUGUUCCCCAGAUCUCAUUUUUGCUUGUUCCUUAUUGUUCAAGGCUUAUCCACAUAUCAACCUCUUCAGAGAGCUCCUCCCACAAGGAAAGUAGUUCGUCUCCCCUAUUUCCACCCCCAGCCAACAUUCGCUUUCUUCAUGUCAAUUUAGUUUAGUUAAAUCACCAUGGACGUUUAUUCCCAAACCUGUUAGAGUGCAUCUUGGUGAGGGCGAAGCUUUAGUGAUGAGGCUGGUCCACUCCCAGCUAGAAGGGUAGGCAUGUAGCAGAGACCAACAGGUAUUAGUGAAAAUAGGAAAGCUGGGUCAUGGGAUGACAAGUAAUGACACCGAGACACGUGAGCCUCUCACCUGACAGACCUUGGGCUGAACUCCUGGUCUAAGUAGCAUGACCUGGGUUUGAUCACCUAACAGGUUUGGAUUGAACGUCCAGUUCAGGGGCAUGACCUUAGGCAUUCAUAACCUUUCCAAGACCUGAAUUUCUCAUCUAUAAAAUGGGAAUUAGUAACCCAACUCAUGGAGGUGGUAAGAGUCUCAUACAAAUGACAUUAGAGACACAAUAGGUCAAAAUUGGAGUCCUUGGAAAUGCUAGAAAGCCCCUCGUCUCCCUUUCUACUUCUCUCAAUAAUAAACACUGUGUGGAGCUUCUAUCACCUCCAGGCUUGUGGCCAUGAUGUAGCCUUUGUCUUCAGUGGCCCUCUGCCUUUAACUGCUUGGAAAGGCAUCCUUUAAAACUCAGAGAAGGUGGUCUGAUGCUAGGAAGUUUCUUUCUGUCUUCAGAAUCCUGGUAGGAAAGUAACCAAUCUCUUUCCUUGUUGCCAGUAUGGAUCACCAGCUUAGUCAGUGGAACUAGUGUCUGAAGGCACAUUUCUCCAAGUGUCUCUGUGUCUCAGGUGAAAGGGCAUUGUGGUGGUCCUAAUAAGAAUAGCCCUUUAGGCUCAUCUAUUUGAAUGUCUGUUUGUGCCUAGUGAUGAACUAUUUAGGAAGGAUUGGGGGGUGUGGCUUUCUUGGAGAGGGGGUGUUACUGGAGAUGGGUUUUGAGAUUUCAAAAGCCCAUGCCAGGCCCAGUCCCCCCAUACUUCAAGGGCUUAUCCAGAUGUAAGCUCUCAGCUACUCCCCCAAUGCCAUACCUGCCUGCCUGUCAUCAUGCUUUCUGCCAUGAUAAUCAUGGAAUAACCCUCUAAAACUGUAAGCAUGACCCCCAUUAAAUGCUUUCUUGUAGGCAGAUUUCUUCUGUCCUACCAGCCAGCUCACAAAUAAUGACACAGAGACUUAUUAUUAAUUAUGAAAGCUUGGUCAAUAACUUAGAUUUGUUUCUAACUAGAUGUUAUAACUUAAUUAACCAUAUCUUUUAAUCUACAUUUUUUGUUUGUUUGUUUUUUGUUUUUUCAAGGCAGGGUUUCUCUGUGGCUUUGGAGGCUGUCCUGGAACUAGCUCUUGUAGACCAGGCUGGUCUUGAACUCACAGAGAUCUGCCUGCUUCUGCUUCCCGAGUGCUGGGAUUAAAGGCGUGUGCCACCUCUGCCCGGCUAAUCUAUACUAUUUUACAUGGCUUGGUUACCUUUAUUGUGUAAUGUCCAUGCUUCUUCCUCUGUAUCUGGCUGGUGACUCCUCCCUUCUUCCCAGUACUCUCUCUGCCCCCCAAAUCCUGCCUAGCUUUUGGCUGUUUAGCUUUUUUAUUAAACCAGCCACACUACCAUAUCUUCACACAGUGUAAAGGGAUAUUCCACAGCACUUUCUUUUAUAAAUUGCCUUGGUCAUGGCGUCAUCUCGCAGCAAUGUAACAGUAACUAAGACAGAAGCUGGUACAAGGAACUGGGGUAAUGCUGGGACAGACCUGACCAUGCUCUUUGUUGGAGAAAUAUGGCAGUCUUUGGGACUUUGGCUAGCUAAGCAAUUGAACAUUUUAAGAGGAGCUUAGUGAAUCAUCCUAGUAGUAGCAUAGAAGACAGCGAUGCUGAUAGCAAUGUAGACAGUGGAUGUCCAUCUCAAGAGGUUUUAGCAGGGAAUAAUACUAGAAAUCAUGCUUGUGAUAUUUUGACAAAGAAUGUGGCUGCUUUUUGCCCUUUUCCAAAUUCAGCCUGAGGCUGAAUUGAAGAGUUUUGGAGUAAUGUCAUUUAUUAGCAGAGGGGAUUUCAGACAACCUAGUAUUGACUGUGUCACAUGGUUGUGGUUAUUAGCGAUCACUCUUACACAGGUUUACAAUGAAAAAGAGCAAGCAGGGCAAAAAGAAUAAAUAAAUAAAAGUACAAUUUGAGGAGAAAAAGAGCACCAGGAAAUUCAAUGUUGGAGUCAAGUCUUAUGCUCAAAGAAAUGAGAAGUUUAAGGAAAGACUUAGGAGAGUGGAAUAAAGGGAGUGGUGCCCUCAAGGCAAGACCCCACCCAGAUAAUCCUACACCCUGUGAGAGGAAGAGGCUGAGAAAUUUCCUCCACCCCCAAAUCAUCAACAAGUUAGAGCGUAAGUAAAUUCAAUUCACAGAUGGGGCCAGAUUCCAGCCCCAGAAGGCAACAAGUUUGGCAGUUUUGCUCAUGUGGUUCUGACUUUACCAAGAGGGGUACAAGAGUAAAUGGAUUGUGGAAUCUUCCUCCGUCGUUAAAGAAAGCUGCCACGGCUAGAUGUGUGGUAGGGAAGUCCCUGCAUGGGGGCCUGGAGAGGCCACUGAGUGAAGCUGUGAAGGCAAAGCCUGGAUUUCAUCAGAGACCCCAAGAUGCUGGAGAUUCCAGAGCUGUGGGCUACCUGCCAAGGAGAGCUGCAGGCAGAACGUGAAGCCAGCCAAAUUCAGCAAAGCUGGAAAGAGUGGGGAAUCUGAAGAGUCAUCUAGGCCCUUAGAUAUCAGAGCUGUAGAACUCUGCUGUGUUUCAGUAUUGUUUUGAUCUCAUAUUUUCUCACUAUAUCCUCUUUCCUCUCUUUGGAAUGGUAAUGUAUAUUCUGUACCAUUGUAUGUUGGAAAUAUGUAUUUAGAAUUCGUUUUUUCCGGGGGUUGCAGUUAAGAGAUUGCCUUAAGUCAAAAGAGACUUUGGGUUUUAAACAGUGUAGAGACUGUGAAGUACUGAAUGUUUGAUUGCCAGUUGUUGGACUGUUUAGGAAGGAUUAGGGGGUGUGGCCUUGUUGGAGGAGGCAUGCCACUGGUGGAGGGCUUCGAGGUUUCAAAAGCCCAUGCCAGGCCCAAUCUCAACCUCUUUCUGUCUACAACUUAUGGAUCAGAUCUGAAAUUGCAGCUACUGCUCCAGCACCAUGCCAGCCUGCGUGCUACCACGAUCUCCACCAUGAUGAAUAUGGACUAACCCUCUGAAACUGUAAGCUAGGCCCCUUGCAUGCUUUCAUUUAUAAGUUGUCAUGAUGUAGCAAUAGGACAGUAACUAAGAUAAACACUAAUAAUGAGCCAUA
Mesocricetus auratus (golden hamster) is the source of this 5236-nucleotide long non-coding RNA. RefSeq lists it as uncharacterized. The record is from RefSeq and is a predicted model, not a curated record. Lineage: Eukaryota; Metazoa; Chordata; Mammalia; Rodentia; Cricetidae. The transcript is spliced from 4 exons.